Molecule: ribosomal RNA, 422 nt
Filed under: uncultured archaeon
Lineage: Archaea
Description: partial 16S ribosomal RNA
Rfam family: Archaeal small subunit ribosomal RNA
Source: RNAcentral
CUACGGGUCGCAGCAGGCGCGGAACCUUUACAAUGCACGCAAGUGUGAUAAGGGGACCCUAAGUGCUCAUACAUUGUAUGGGCUUUUGUCAAGAGUAAAUAUCUUGGAGAAUAAGUGGUGGGUAAGACUGGUGCCAGCCGCCGCGGUAACACCAGCGCCACGAGUGGCAACCGCGUUUAUUGGGCCUAAAGCGUCCGUAGCCGGUUAGGUAAAUUUCUUGUGAAAUCGUCAGGCUUAACCUGACGGCGUGCUUGAAACACUGCCUAACUCGAGACCGGGAGGAGUCAAAGGUAUUUCAGGGGGAGCGGUAAAAUGUGAUAAUCCCUGGAAGAUCACCUAUGGCGAAGGCAUUUGACCAGAACGGAUCUGACGGUGAGGGACGAAGGCCAGGGGAGCGAUCCGGAUUAGAUACCCGAGUAGUC